GGAUGCGAUCAUACCAGAGCACUAAAGCACCGGCUCCCAUCAGAACUCCGAAGUUAAGCUUGCUUGGGCGAGAGUAGUACUAGGAUGGGUGACCUCUUGGGAAGUCCUCGUGUUGCAUUCC
Molecule: ribosomal RNA, 121 nt
Filed under: Aegilops tauschii subsp. strangulata
Lineage: Eukaryota; Viridiplantae; Streptophyta; Magnoliopsida; Poales; Poaceae
Source: RNAcentral